This 253-nucleotide ribosomal RNA is filed under the name uncultured bacterium. RNAcentral's name for it is "partial 16S ribosomal RNA". It matches the Rfam family "Bacterial small subunit ribosomal RNA", at positions 524 to 776 of the family's 1533-position model. The record is from RNAcentral.
GACAGAGGGUGCAAACGUUGUUCGGAUUUACUGGGCGUAAAGCGCGCGUAGGUGGUUCGUUAAGUUGGAUGUGAAAUCCCCGGGCUCAACCUGGGAACUGCAUCCAAAACUGGCGAGCUAGAGUAUGGUAGAGGGUGGUGGAAUUUCCUGUGUAGCGGUGAAAUGCGUAGAUAUAGGAAGGAACACCAGUGGCGAAGGCGACCACCUGGACUGAUACUGACACUGAGGUGCGAAAGCGUGGGGAGCAAACAGG